AUUGAACGCUGGCGGCAGGCCUAACACAUGCAAGUCGAACGGAAGCACCGUGCUUGCUUGUGGUUCCCGAGGCGGACGGGUGAGUGUUGCAUGGGAAUAUCCUUGGCUGUGGGUGAGAAUGACCGGAGACAGGCGCUAAUACCGCAUAAUAGCAGAGGGAGAACGAGGGGGAUCUUUGGACCUUACGAUCUCAGGUGAGUCUAGGCCGGAUUAGCCAGUUGGUGGGGUGAAGGGCUACCUAGGCGACGAUCCGUGGCUGGAGUGCGUGGAUGAUCAGCCACACUGGAACUUAGACACGGUCCAGACUCCUACGGGAGGCAGCAGUGGGGAAUAUUGGACAAUAGGCGAAAGCCUGAUCCAGCCAUGCCGCGUGUGUGACGAAGGCCUUCGGUUCGUAAAGCCCGUUUGGUGGGGAUGAACCGCUGUAGGUUAAUACCAUGCUGUUUUGACGGUACCGACAGAAUAAGCACCGGCUAACUUCGUG
Molecule: ribosomal RNA, 484 nt
Filed under: uncultured bacterium
Lineage: Bacteria
Description: partial 16S ribosomal RNA
Rfam family: Bacterial small subunit ribosomal RNA
Source: RNAcentral